Molecule: long non-coding RNA, 1184 nt
Organism: Amphibalanus amphitrite
Lineage: Eukaryota; Metazoa; Arthropoda; Thecostraca; Balanomorpha; Balanidae
Exons: 2
Source: RefSeq, a predicted model, not a curated record
UGUGAUGAAUUGCAGCAGCAAUACUUGGAAUAUAAAGAAGAAGUGAAGCAAUUAUGAUACUUAUUAUUUUUUUAUAAUGACAGAAGGAACGUGGAAGAAAAAACAUUUUGUGCAGCAUGUGAAAACAAGGAAAUCAAAAUAGAAUGAAAGAAGGGCUGCUACUUUUCAUGCGCCCGAACGAAACCAGCCACCUCAUCAUCAUAGCAUGUUGCAUUGGAGCUCUGCUGGAGUUUGCUGAUGACAGGAUGCUGAAGGGCUGAAGCUGGUAGCUCUGGCAGGAGUCCAGUGUCCACCAGCUCAAGAUUCGACGCCGCCGCGUCGCCGCCGUGCGGCACUCCGCGGAGGCGGGGACGGCGGUCAUGAUUGAAGACGCCGCAUUUCCCGCCUGGACUGUCUGGUCGGAGACUGGUAAUCCCUCCGGUGAGCCGCACACCGUGGAGCUACUGCACCGCGCGUGUCCACCCGCAGCGCAGUGCAGUGCCAGCAACGGUGCCGCGAGUGCGACAUCUGCGUGCAUAUGACGCAGUGCGACUGUCACGACUCGCGGCUCAGUGUUCUGUCAGUGUGACAGUGCGGCUCGCGCUCGUUUUAGCGAGGUGCUCUGUUGUAUAUAACCACCUUGAUGGAGACCUAUGUGCUGCCGCUUGAGUUUCAGUGUACAGUUUUAUGCAUCAAACUAGCGUAAGUAAAUGGCUGUCAGAGGUCAAUUUGAAGCGCAAUUAGUACCCAUAACCCAGCUGGGUUGAGCGAGUCAUGUGACUAGUCCCGAUGAGCGUACUGUUUCGAUGUCGUCAGUCGUAGACUUUUGUAAACCAUUCGUUUCGGAGCUCUGUGUUGUGUUGUUCGGGACCGCAGUUGUUUGAGCAGUUUGCUUUAUGCGUCGUACGCUGACAGAACGCUGGUCGUACACAAGUCAUGUGUUUCCUUUCGCCCCUAAUGGGUUACUGCCCCUAAUGGGUUUCAAGCUGCGCUUGGAAAUCGUGCAAUUUUAUUUGCCUUUUGCAAUGCAAUUUUAUUGCCGUUACCGUAUUGGUAGAUAGUGUCAGAAGUUGGCCAUUUGAUGCGUUGUCACUUGUCAGACGCUGUUGCCUUAGUACUGACAAAUUGAUGGGCCGCGUUUGUGUUCCUGUUAAGAAACGGAUCUCAAUAUAAGGUGAUUCAGAGGUAGGGACCUGAAUGCAUUC